This 3488-nucleotide long non-coding RNA is filed under the name Rhinopithecus bieti (black snub-nosed monkey). Its description in RNAcentral is "lncRNA (ENSRBIG00000045607.1)". The record is from RNAcentral. Lineage: Eukaryota; Metazoa; Chordata; Mammalia; Primates; Cercopithecidae.
AUGCUAGCGGCCCCUCCCAGCGGUGGUCACUGCCAGUGUCAGUCCCUCCCGCCGCCGUGCAGUGCCGCCCUAUCUUGCUGCAGCCGCCGCACCCGCUCCAGCGCCCCCAAUUUGCGCUCGGGAGCGAGGAGCGGCCAACGGCCCCGCCCCGCUGCCGCCAUCGUCACCGCAGUGCUCUCCGGUCGCCAUUCGUUACCGAAACUUUACAGCACCCGCGACGUUUCCGGGACUCCGCGGCGGCUGCGCGGAGGCGGCCCAGGGGCGGCGCGCGGCUGCUCGGGUGCGCGGGGCUCUUUUCGGCAGCCACACUGCUGGGCCUCGAAAGAUGACCGUCUGAGGGAGAUUCAGAGCACUGCCAGAGUGCAGGAAACUGCUGUCCUUGCUGUACCUUCUGUUCUGUUAAUGGUAUGGACACUGUGAGUUGCUUCUAGAGAGCUACACCCUCACUUCUGGAUCAGCACAUGAAGGCCAAGGAACUGCCAGUGUUCCGUGUCCAUUUUAAUUGAGGUAUAAAUACUAUACCCUAACAUUCUCCUGUUUUACCUUGGCAGCAUCUGGAGAGUUUGGUUGUCACAGCUGAGUGGGGAGUGCUACUGGCAUUGGGUGGGUAUAGGCCAGGGAUGCUGUGAGCAUCCUAUACCUCCCAGGACAGCCUCCCCACCUCCACCAACAAAUUAUCCAGCCCUAAAUGUCUACAGUGCCACAGAUAAGAAACCCUGGACCCUCGGGUACACAGAUUUGACUGGAGAGGAGAAAUCAUAUUCAGGGAUAAUUGGGAUUUGUAUUGCAGUUAGUGCAGAGCUUGUGUGUGGAAGGCCUUGGACACUGGACUAAUCUAAGAAGUUGGGUGGGGAUGAAGGGGCUUUAGAUCCUGGAAACCAUUAAAAGCCAUUGAACAGGCCAGGCGUGGUGGCUCACGCCUGUAAUCCCAGCACUUUGGGAGGCCGAGACAGGCGGAUCACGAGGUCAGGAGAUCGAGACUAUCCUGGCUAACACGGUGAAACCCCGUCUCUACUAAAAAAUACAAAAAACUAGCCGGGAGAGGUGGCGGGUGCCUGUAGUCCCAGCUACUCUGGAGGCUGAGGCAGGAGAGUGGCAUAAACCCGGGAAGUGGAGCUUGCAGUGAGCUGAGGUCUGGCCACUGCACUCCAGCCUGGGCCACAGAGCGAGACUCCGUCUCAAAAAAAAAAAAAAGCCUUUGAACAGGUGCUUUAGAAAGAUGAAACUGGCAUCUGUCUUAAGGAUGGAUGAUAACAGGCACCAGGAAACUGGCCUUUGGGGCUGUGACCAGAUUUGGCAUACAGCCACACCCAUUCAUUUAUAGGUUUUCUGUGGCUGCUAUGAUGGUUAAUUUUAUAUGUCACCUUGGUUAGGUCAUGGUAUUCUGUUUUUUUUUUUUUUAGACAGAGUCUCGCUUUGUUGCCCAGGCUGGAGUGCAGUGGCGUGAUCUCUGCUCACUGAAACUUGCGCCUCCCAGGUUCAGGCAAUUCUCCUGCCUCAGCCUCCUGAGUAGCUGGGGCUACAGGUGCAUGCCACAUGCCCACCUAAGUUUUGUAUUUUUAGCAGAUACAAGGUUUCACCGUAUUGGCCAGGCUUGUCUAAAACUCCUGACCUCAUGAUCCAUCUACCUCCAGCUCCCAAAGUGCUGGGAGUACACGUGUGAGCCAGCAUGCCUGGCCUAGGUGAUGGUAUUCAGAUAUUUGGUCACGUACUUUGGAGUGCUGCUGAAGGCAUUUUUUAGAUGAAGUAAAAACUUAACAUCAGUAGACAUUUAGUGAAGCACAUGACCCGUGUAAUGUGGGUGGACCUCAUCCAAUCAGUUGAAGGCCUUAAGAAAAAGACUGAGGUCCUCCAAAGAGAAGAGAAUUCUAUCAGUGGCCUGCCCUAGGAUUAGAGACUGUAACAUCUACACUUCCCCUGGGUCUUUGGCCUGCCCUGUAAAGUCUGGACUUGCCAGCUUCCACAAUUUUGUGAGCCAAUUCCUUAAAAUCUGUCCAUCCAUCCAUCCAUCCAUCCAUCCAUCCAUCCAUCCAUCCAUCCAUCAUCCAUCCAUCCAUCCACAUACCUACCCAUGUGUCCAUCCAUGCACACAUGCACAAACCCUAUUGGCACUGUUUCUCUGGACAGCCCUGAUUAACAAUGUUGCUUUCUUGCCACAGCAGCCAAGUUGAAUAUUUACCUGUAUAUAGAGAAAAAAGGCCAGGCAUUGGAUUUGAUAAAUGAAGUCCGUCCAUGGAAAUGAGGAGUGCUCAGUGCUUCUUGGAGUUAAACAGAGAAACCGUAAAAGCCUAGAGGGCUCAGGAUGGUGAUACCAUGGUCUUUCAUUCUUGUGUAUUUUGCAAAUUUGGCCCAUUGGCAGGCAGAUUUAAUGUCUCCAAUCCAGAUGGUGUUUUAGGGAAUGGCUUGCCUGGCUUGUGGGUUGAAAUGUUCUCUCCUCCAGUGUGGCUUCUGCAGUAUCAUCUCACCUGAUGACGACAAUAAGUGGAAGCCAUGUGAUGUGACCAUCUGAGACGCAAGUUAAUUAGGUUUUAUCAGAAAAGGCAACCUUGGCUGGGUGUGAUGGCCCAUGCCUGUAAUUCUAGCACUUUGGAGGAUGAGGCUGGUGGAUCACCUGAUCUCAGGAGUUCGUGACCAGCCUGGUCAACAUGGCAAAACCCCAUCCCUACUAAAAAUAGGAAAAUCAGCUAGUCAUGGUGGCAUGUGCCUGCAGUUCCAGCUACUGAGGAGGAUGAGGUGGGAGAAUUGCUUGAACCUGUGAGGCAGGGGUUGCAGUGAGCUGAGAUCAUGCCACUGCAUGUUAGCCUAGGUUACACAGUGAGACUGUGUACCGCCCCCCCACCAAAAAAAAAACAACAACAACAAAAAAGGCAAACUUAACACUUGUGGGAUAUGUUGUGGGUGAAGACAAAGACACUAGUAUCCUGUGAUUUUAUUUUAUUUUAUUUUAUUUUAUUUAUUUAUUUUUUUGAGACGGAGUCUCGCUCUGUCACCCAAGCUGGAGUGCAGUGGCCGGAUCUCAGCUCACUGCAAGCUCCGCCUCCCGGGUUCACGCCAUUCUCCUGCCUCAGCCUCCCGAGUAGCUGGGACGACAGGCGCCGCCACCUCGCCCGGCUAGUUUUUUUGUAUUUUUUAGUGGAGACGGGGUUUCACCGUGUUAGCCAGGAUGGUCUCGAUCUCCUGACCUCGUGAUCCGCCCGUCUCGGCCUCCCAAAGUGCUGGGAUUACAGGCUUGAGCCACCGCGCCCGGCCAUAUCCUGUGAUUUUAAAUAGGAGAUUAAAAAAUUCUGCCUGUGGAGGAUGGGUUGUCAUUUGUCAGCCAAAUGUAGGUUAAAUACGUUUUAUUUCUGACCCUUUUGUACACAUUUUAAUCAGUUUUCAGCUUGCAAUUACAGUUGGUACUUCUUAGUUCUCAGUGAAUGGUGUAGAGAAAUUGUUUGCAACGUCAUACUGUUUUUUUUUUUUUUUUUUUUUUUUUUUUUUUUUUUUUU